This 1016-nucleotide ribosomal RNA is filed under the name uncultured Bacillota bacterium. RNAcentral describes it as "bacterial SSU rRNA". It matches the Rfam family "Bacterial small subunit ribosomal RNA", at positions 1 to 916 of the family's 1533-position model. The record is from RNAcentral. Lineage: Bacteria; Bacillati; Bacillota.
GGAUCCAGACUUUGAUUAUGGCUCAGGACGAACGCUGGCGGCGCGCCUAACACAUGCAAGUCGAACGGAGUUAUUUUCUUCACUCCGAGCUUUUUGCCAGUUAGCCGGAGCGGCAAUCGGUUUUGCCCAGCAUAAAAAGCAAAACCGAUUUAGGCUCAUAAAGUAAGACUAACACAGAGGGCAGAGAGUUGGGAGUGAAGAAAAUAACUUAGUGGCGAACGGGUGAGUAACGCGUGAGUAACCUGCCCUGGAGUGGGGGACAACAGUUGGAAACGACUGCUAAUACCGCAUAAGCCCACGGCCCGGCAUCGGGCUGCGGGAAAAGGAUUUAUUCGCUUCAGGAUGGACUCGCGUCCAAUUAGCUAGUUGGUGAGGUAACGGCCCACCAAGGCGACGAUUGGUAGCCGGACUGAGAGGUUGAACGGCCACAUUGGGACUGAGACACGGCCCAGACUCCUACGGGAGGCAGCAGUGGGGGAUAUUGCACAAUGGGGGAAACCCUGAUGCAGCGACGGCGCGUGGAGGAAGAAGGUUUUCGGAUUGUAAACUCCUGUCGUUAGGGACGAUAAUGACGGUACCUAACAAGAAAGCACCGGCUAACUACGUGCCAGCAGCCGCGGUAAAACGUAGGGUGCAAGCGUUGUCCGGAAUUACUGGGUGUAAAGGGAGCGCAGGCGGACCGGCAAGUUGGAAGUGAAAACUAUGGGCUCAACCCAUAAAUUGCUUUCAAAACUGCUGGCCUUGAGUAGUGCAGAGGUAGGUGGAAUUCCCGGUGUAGCGGUGGAAUGCGUAGAUAUCGGGAGGAACACCAGUGGCGAAGGCGACCUACUGGGCACCAACUGACGCUGAGGCUCGAAAGCAUGGGUAGCAAACAGGAUUAGAUACCCUGGUAGUCCAUGCCGUAAACGAUGAUUACUAGGUGUUGGAGGAUUGACCCCUUCAGUGCCGCAGUUAACACAAUAAGUAAUCCACCUGGGGAGUACGACCGCAAGGUUGCAACUCAAAUGAAUUGACGG